RNAcentral lists this ribosomal RNA (434 nucleotides) under bacterium Ellin367. Its description in RNAcentral is "bacterial SSU rRNA". It matches the Rfam family "Bacterial small subunit ribosomal RNA", at positions 28 to 476 of the family's 1533-position model. Lineage: Bacteria; Bacillati; Actinomycetota; Actinomycetes; Actinomycetales. The record is from RNAcentral.
GACGAACGCUGGCGGCGUGCUUAACACAUGCAAGUCGAGCGGAAAGGCCCUUUCGGGGGUACUCGAGCGGCGAACGGGUGAGUAACACGUGAGUAACCUGCCCUUGGCUUUGGGAUAACCCUCGGAAACGGGGGCUAAUACCGAAUAUUCACUGCUUCUCGCAUGGGGGGUGGUGGAAAGAUUUUUUGGCUGGGGAUGGGCUCGCGGCCUAUCAGCUUGUUGGUGGGGUGAUGGCCUACCAAGGCGACGACGGGUAGCCGGCCUGAGAGGGCGACCGGCCACACUGGGACUGAGACACGGCCCAGACUCCUACGGGAGGCAGCAGUGGGGAAUAUUGCACAAUGGGCGCAAGCCUGAUGCAGCGACGCCGCGUGAGGGAUGACGGCCUUCGGGUUGUAAACCUCUUUCAGCAGGGACGAAGCGUAAGUGACGGU